CUGUAGCAAUACAGGUGUUGUUUAGUGGCGAACGGGUGCGUAACACGUGGGGAAUCUGCCGAGAAGUGGGGGAUAGCUCGCCGAAAGGCGAAUUAAUACCGCAUAUGAUCAGCCAAGACAUCUUGGCGACAUCAAAGCCGGGGCAACCUGGCGCUUCUUGAUGACCCCGCGGCCUAUCAGCUAGUUGGUGAGGUAACGGCCCACCAAGGCGAUGACGGGUAGCUGGUCUGAGAGGACGACCAGUCACACUGGAACUGAGACACGGUCCAGACACCUACGGGUGGCAGCAGUCGAGAAUAUCUCAAUGGGGGCAACCCUGAAGGAGCGACGCCGCGUGGAGGAUGAAGGCUUUCGGGUUGUAAACUCCUGUCAUUUGAGAACAAGGUGCAGCGAUUAACUGUCGCUGCAUUGAUAGUAUCAGAAGAGGAAGAGACGGCUAACUCUGUGCCAGCAGCCGCGGUAAUACAGAGGUCUCAAGCGUUGUUCGGAUUCAUUGGGCGUAAAGGGUGCGUAGGUGGCGGGGUAAGUCAGGUGUGAAAUUUCGGAGCUUAACUCCGAAACUGCAUUUGAUACUGCCUUGCUUGAGGACUGGAGAGGAGACUGGAAUUCACGGUGUAGCAGUGAAAUGCGUAGAGAUCGUGAGGAAGACCAGUGGCGAAGGCGGGUCUCUGGACAGUUCCUGACACUGAGGCACGAAGGCCAGGGGAGCAAACGGGAUUAGAUACCCCGGUAGUCCUGGCAGUAAACGGUGCACGUUUGGUGUGGGAGGAUUCGAGGCUUCCGCGCGGAGCUAACGCGUUAAACGUGCCGCCUGGGGAGUACGGUCGCAAGAUUAA
This 836-nucleotide ribosomal RNA is filed under the name uncultured bacterium. RNAcentral describes it as "bacterial SSU rRNA". It matches the Rfam family "Bacterial small subunit ribosomal RNA", at positions 74 to 897 of the family's 1533-position model. The record is from RNAcentral.